UUGACCUCGGUGCAGGU
Molecule: ribosomal RNA, 17 nt
Filed under: Fusarium oxysporum f. sp. lagenariae
Lineage: Eukaryota; Fungi; Ascomycota; Sordariomycetes; Hypocreales; Nectriaceae
Description: partial 28S ribosomal RNA
Source: RNAcentral